AUGCGCAUUUCAAUGGCUUCACAGCUCAAAAAUAUCAUCUGCAUAAAACCCAAUCGAUUAAACAGUAUUUACAGCGCAUCCCCUCGGUUGCCAUUGCCGAAUGAAGAGCUCAAACGGCGACGUCUACUUUCCUUGCACUUGGCUUGAAUCCGCCUUGAAUCUCUAGCGAGCAAAUAGCAGAAAGACAAUAAUUGAAUAUAUAGGAAUUGGAAUUGUUUAAGCCCAAUAUGCGCCCCAUGCACAUUCACAUUCACAGAUGAUGAUGAUUUCAGGCAGCAGCUGGUGGCAGAACUCCUCCGUUUGUUGGUCACGAAUUUUGGGGGCGAUGUUAACACCGCCUUGGACUAAAGAUUUCCAGAUUCAACAAAAUGCCAAAUGCCGCCUGCAACUGUAAUAUUAUUUGACCAUUAAAAUGCCAACAGUUUUGUGUCUGCGCCAGGAGCUGCUGCCGAGCAGAGAGCUUUGGCUAUCUGCAAUGAUAAUGAAGGCCAAAAACGGUACAUCAGGAGGAACCCAAACACAAAAGAAAGAUUGAUUUUAAUUUUAAAAUAAAAUGUUCGAGCUUUCGGAAAGGAAAUAACGCAAAAGGAUCUGCAGCAUCACCAAAUCCUCAAUACCGUGUAGCGGAAGCCAGUCCUGACACAACCUAUGACUCAGAAGCUCGGGUUUAGUCCAACAACAAAAAUCAUGGUAUUUUCAGGAAUAUAUAAUAUUGUAAGAACGA
Molecule: long non-coding RNA, 724 nt
Organism: Drosophila obscura
Lineage: Eukaryota; Metazoa; Arthropoda; Insecta; Diptera; Drosophilidae
Exons: 3
Source: RefSeq, a predicted model, not a curated record